Corylus avellana is the source of this 511-nucleotide non-coding RNA. The record is from RefSeq and is a predicted model, not a curated record. Lineage: Eukaryota; Viridiplantae; Streptophyta; Magnoliopsida; Fagales; Betulaceae.
CGGAAUUGGUCAGCUGUCCCCUAGAGUUCCCUCGACCACUUCUAUGAAAUUGUAAAUAACCCUCAAUUAAGUGAGGGCAAUUUUACCCCACUGAAGUGUUUGGGGGAACUCUGGUUGUCAUCUGACGUUGAUAAGUGGCUAUUAAGAAGAACUAGGGUAGCCGUUUACGUGUAUAUAUAUAUAUAUAGUAAUGAAUCUUUGAAUCUCUGAGGUAUGUAAGCUUCGAUCUUUCUCUGCAUUUCAUGUCUAACAAUUCCUUCCUUUCGCGUAUAGCAAAAGCGAUGAAACAUGGGAAGGGAAGCAAAUAGAGACGACGAACCCGCUGGCCGCAUGAACUGGAGGACUACAGACCAUAUGUACUUCAAGGGAUAGUGUGGAGCAGACAAGUGAAAUACGACAUCAUUGAAUGACGAUAUCCUUCAUUCUGGAAGACUUUUGAGCAAAUUUCUCAAAUUAUAUGUAAUUGCUCUUACUGAUAAAUACAAGCAGAAUGGGAAGCUCAGUUACUUAA